This 253-nucleotide ribosomal RNA is filed under the name uncultured bacterium. Its description in RNAcentral is "partial 16S ribosomal RNA". It matches the Rfam family "Bacterial small subunit ribosomal RNA", at positions 524 to 776 of the family's 1533-position model. The record is from RNAcentral.
UACAGGGGGUGCAAACGUUGCUCGGAAUCAUUGGGCGUAAAGCGCACGUAGGCGGUUCGUUAUGUCGGAUGUGAAAGCCCUUGGCUUAACCGAGGAAGUGCAUCCGAAACUGGCGAGCUAGAGUACGAAAGAGGAUCGCGGAAUUCCCGGUGUAGAGGUGAAAUUCGUAGAUAUCGGGAGGAACACCGGUGGCGAAGGCGGCGAUCUGGGUCGAUACUGACGCUGAGGUGCGAAAGCAUGGGGAGCAAACAGG